Molecule: ribosomal RNA, 492 nt
Filed under: uncultured bacterium
Lineage: Bacteria
Description: partial 16S ribosomal RNA
Rfam family: Bacterial small subunit ribosomal RNA
Source: RNAcentral
AGUGAACGCUGGCGGUAGGCCUAACACAUGCAAGUCGAACGGCAGCACAGUAAGAGCUUGCUCUUACGGGUGGCGAGUGGCGGACGGGUGAGGAAUACAUCGGAAUCUACUUUUUCGUGGGGGAUAACGUAGGGAAACUUACGCUAAUACCGCAUACGACCUACGGGUGAAAGCAGGGGAUCUUCGCACCUUGCGCGAUUGAAUGAGCCGAUGUCGGAUUAGCUAGUUGGCGGGGUAAAGGCCCACCAAGGCGACGAUCCGUAGCUGGUCUGAGAGGAUGAUCAGCCACACUGGAACGGAGACACGGUCCAGACUCCUACGGGAGGCAGCAGUGGGGAAUAUUGGACAAUGGGCGCAAGCCUGAUCCAGCCAUACCGCGUGGGUGAAGAAGGCCUUCGGGUUGUAAAGCCCUUUUGUUGGGAAAGAAAAGCAGCAGGUUAAUACCCCGCUGUUCUGACGGUACCCAAAGAAUAAGCACCGGCUAACUUCGUG